CAAAGGGUAGUUUAAAUAAAAUAUUAAUUUUGGAGAUUAAUGAUAGGAGAGUUCUCCCUUUGA
RNAcentral lists this transfer RNA (63 nucleotides) under Theopompa sp. FY-2016a. RNAcentral describes it as "tRNA-Pro". Lineage: Eukaryota; Metazoa; Arthropoda; Insecta; Mantodea; Gonypetidae. The record is from RNAcentral.